This is a long non-coding RNA of Cebus imitator (Panamanian white-faced capuchin), 1265 nucleotides long. RefSeq lists it as uncharacterized. The record is from RefSeq and is a predicted model, not a curated record. The transcript has 3 exons. Lineage: Eukaryota; Metazoa; Chordata; Mammalia; Primates; Cebidae.
GAGAUCUCCCUGAUGGAUGUAACGAAAACAAAUGCACUUGACUUCCACUGCCUGCCUGGCGUGUCACGUGGGUUCAAUGAAGAUAUAGUAGAAUAUUGCCACUUUUCUUUCACUUUGAUCCUCUUCAUAAUGAAACUAUUGUGUGUUUAUGAUAUGUUCUGUUGGACUGGGGCUUUGAACUGAUGAAACAGGAAAGCCAUAACAAGCACCAGGGCUGACUUGGUAUGUUGACUCAGUUCCCACAUAAUGAUGGCAUAUAUAUGCAUGCACAUUAUAAUGUUGUGACACACAGAAGAAAAAUGUGUUACCCUGUCUCAAUUUCCUGUUUUAACGCAAGUCCAUACAACAUCCCAAUCUUUCUCAGGCUCUCCAAGCACCCCUGACUUCACUGUUUCGUAAGGGACAAUUCACAGACUACUUCCCCGCAGCCUGAACUUACCUAGAGAUACUUCUUUCACUCUCAGUUCCAUUCAGAGAUAGCAGCAUUGUGGUCGUUCGGUAACUUGAUUGAAACAAGGCACUCAACUGUGACUUAUUGUCAUAAUCAUCCAAAGAGGCCCACCAAGCAUUGUUCUUGCUGGAAAGGCACAAAAGGAAUAGAAACAUGCCCUUCAUUUGGAAGGACAUAUUUUUAUAUGCCUCAGAACGACGGACGCCCAGAAACAUCUCUGAGGUAUGAGGCUCCUAUAUUUGAUGGUAUUUAUAUCAUCCAGCAUUCAUUUAUGUGACCAAGGACCUAGUGUACUUGCAACUUCCUGCUGUGCAGGUCAUUUCAGUAUGAUAUUAUUUUGCACAAUGAACUAGCCUGAUAUCAGGUGGAAUAGAAAGAUGGCCUAGGAUAACUGACCUCUGCUUAAAAAAUGAGCUGACCUGUGAGGGUCACAAUAUCCUUUCCAUAAAUUCCCUUUUGCUUUAGCUAACCUGGGUCAGAUUCUGUUAUUUACAGAAACUCUAGGUGAUUCUAAACUAGAAACCCUAGGUAUUCUAAAAUUUUACCAUGAACGUGGUUGCAGGCAACAGAUAUUUCAGAAAACUGAGUCAUUUGGCAUUGUUUACCUGGCUGUAAUGAGGCAAGAGGUGGUGAAACUCUCAUUCAUAUUCCAAGAUGGGAAACUAGCAUCAGACAACAGAGAAUUACAUUACCGCCUCUGGUUAUUAGGAUCUAGAAACUUCUGAGGUUCUAGAAAGCUUUAGGGCUGGGAUCAGCAAACUAUACUCCACCUGUAGUGUUGCCUGUUUUUGUAAAUAAAUCUUUUUGGGGGACA